CGGGACCUGGGUUCUCUGUGACGUCCUGGCCUUCAGCUAAGGAGCAUGUUGGCAUGGGAUGUGGGAAAUGGCAAGACCCCAGAAAUGGACAGAUAGAAGGAAAGACGGCUGCUAAGCAGACAUUAUGCUACACAGAGUCCAGGCCAGCCCAUGUCGCAGAGCGGUUACUUACAUUAAGAAAGGAUUCUGUGUCAAGUGUUUGAGUUAAUUUCUACCUCUUAGGAUCGAGGAAGUAGGGUUUAAUAUUUCCAUGUAGGGAGAGGAACACCCAGGCUCAGGGAAGUAACUGACCUACUCUCGCGUGGUUCCAGAGGUGGAUUUUCGGACACCAAAGUCGCUCUCCCACCCUGAAGGUCCCAUUCAAGCCAGAGCCGGAGUGUAAGGUCAUGGAUUCUCCCACUCGCUUGCCCUAGGGGUUAAAUUGUACACUGCCCCUGUUAAGGCAUAUCCAGGACUUUAAAGGUCUCCCUGUUGGCCAACACUAACCUGGGAUGGUGAAGUCAGGAUAAUGAAUUCCCUUCACUUACCCUUCAGAAGCACGUUUUAUUCAGCAGUUUCAGAAGUGAAUCCCACUGAACCUUACUGGUUGGAGAAUUCUAUUGUUUCAAAACUUCUCUAAAGAGCAUAGAGAAGGAGAAACUCUUCUAUAUUAUUCCGGUAAUUUGUAUAUCAAUGAUAACCAGAUACAAUCACCAUAAUCUAAGGAAAUCUCAGUGAAAUAUUUUGCGCUUUCCAGGCCCCCUUUCUCUCAGUACUGUAUAGUGAGAAGAAUUCUAGCUUUUAAACUGGCAUGGUGGUACAUGCCUGUAAUCCCAGGAUGCUGGGAGGUUGAAGCAGGAGGAUCAGAAGUUCAAGCCCUCCUUAGUUAACAACUUAGUGAGAUUCUGUCCCAAAAUAUAAAAUAAAACAGGAUGGGAAUAUAGUUCAGGGUAGAGGCUCUCAUUUCAGUCUCCAGUAACACACACACACACA
RNAcentral lists this long non-coding RNA (972 nucleotides) under Heterocephalus glaber (naked mole-rat). RNAcentral's name for it is "lncRNA (ENSHGLG00000040594.1)". The record is from RNAcentral. Lineage: Eukaryota; Metazoa; Chordata; Mammalia; Rodentia; Bathyergidae.